Molecule: ribosomal RNA, 253 nt
Filed under: uncultured bacterium
Lineage: Bacteria
Description: partial 16S ribosomal RNA
Rfam family: Bacterial small subunit ribosomal RNA
Source: RNAcentral
UACGAAGGGGGCUAGCGUUGCUCGGAAUCACUGGGCGUAAAGCGUGCGCAGGCGGUUCGUAAAGUCUGAUGUGAAAGCCCCGGGCUCAACCUGGGAACUGCAUUGGAAACUAGCGAGCUUGAGUGUGGCAGAGGGGGGUGGAAUUCCACGUGUAGCAGUGAAAUGCGUAGAGAUGUGGAGGAACACCGAUGGCGAAGGCAGCCCCCUGGGCUAACACUGACGCUCAGGCACGAAAGCGUGGGGAACAAACAGG